CUCUCGGCAACGGAUAUCUCGGCUCUCGCAUCGAUGAAAAACGUAGCGAAAUGCGAUACUUGGUGUGAAUUGCAAAAUCCCGUGAACCAUCGAGUCUUUGAACGCAAGUUGCGCCCGAGGCCACCCGGCCGAGGGCACGCCUGCCUGGGCGUCACGCCACCCAU
This 164-nucleotide ribosomal RNA is filed under the name Phoebe hungmoensis. RNAcentral describes it as "5.8S ribosomal RNA". It matches the Rfam family "5.8S ribosomal RNA". Rfam says of the family: 5.8S ribosomal RNA (5.8S rRNA) is a component of the large subunit of the eukaryotic ribosome. It is transcribed by RNA polymerase I as part of the 45S precursor that also contains 18S and 28S rRNA. Lineage: Eukaryota; Viridiplantae; Streptophyta; Magnoliopsida; Laurales; Lauraceae. The record is from RNAcentral.